AUGAACGCUGGCGGCGUGCCUAAUACAUGCAAGUCGAGCGAACAGACGAGGAGCUUGCUCCUCUGACGUUAGCGGCGGACGGGUGAGUAACACGUGGAUAACCUACCUAUAAGACUGGGAUAACUUCGGGAAACCGGAGCUAAUACCGGAUAAUAUAUUGAACCGCAUGGUUCAAUAGUGAAAGACGGUUUUGCUGUCACUUAUAGAUGGAUCCGCGCCGCAUUAGCUAGUUGGUAAGGUAACGGCUUACCAAGGCGACGAUGCGUAGCCGACCUGAGAGGGUGAUCGGCCACACUGGAACUGAGACACGGUCCAGACUCCUGCGGGAGGCAGCAGUAGGGAAUCUUCCGCAAUGGGCGAAAGCCUGACGGAGCAACGCCGCGUGAGUGAUGAAGGUCUUCGGAUCGUAAAACUCUGUUAUUAGGGAAGAACAAAUGUGUAAGUAACUAUGCACGUCUUGACGGUACCUAAUCAGAAAGCCACGGCUAACUACGUG
Molecule: ribosomal RNA, 496 nt
Filed under: uncultured bacterium
Lineage: Bacteria
Description: partial 16S ribosomal RNA
Rfam family: Bacterial small subunit ribosomal RNA
Source: RNAcentral